AGCAACAAUAAACUGGUAAGGUAUGAAUCCGAAACCUCUGGAAGAUCAACAAAGGCUCUCCAUACCCUACUUCGACUCAAUAUGUCCCCGGCGAAUGGAACGGCAACAUGUCUCGCCAAAUAUCUGAGCUUGGGUAUACGGGGAAACACAACCCCUUGGGAGGAUGGGUGAUAUGGCUAAAUUGAGCGGA
Molecule: non-coding RNA, 190 nt
Organism: Anopheles culicifacies
Lineage: Eukaryota; Metazoa; Arthropoda; Insecta; Diptera; Culicidae
Source: Rfam